RNAcentral lists this ribosomal RNA (351 nucleotides) under Triticum aestivum (bread wheat). RNAcentral's name for it is "partial small subunit ribosomal RNA". Lineage: Eukaryota; Viridiplantae; Streptophyta; Magnoliopsida; Poales; Poaceae. The record is from RNAcentral.
AUGACUUGUGAUAAUCUUAGGAAGAGAGGCAUAGUGAAGCCAUUGGAGUGUGUUUUUUGCAAGGAGAUUGAAUCUGUUCGUCACUUGCUUUUUGAAUGUGUGGUAGCUAGGCUAGUUUGGGCUGAGGUUAAUACUGUCUUCAACAUUUCUGUGGUUGGUUUUGAAUCUGUGGCUAAAUACUGGCUGUGCGCCAAAAAAUGCAAGCAACUGAAUGUUGUGAGCUCUGCUGUACUGUGGGGAUUCUGGAAUUUUAGGAAUUCUGUAGUGUUUAAUAGGUGCUCUUGGAUUUCUAUGAAACGGGUUCUGGGGCUAGUUUACCGCUAUCUGAGGGACUGGACCAAGCUGUUCUAA